This 73-nucleotide transfer RNA is filed under the name Bacteroidales bacterium. Its description in RNAcentral is "tRNA-Met". It matches the Rfam family "tRNA". Rfam says of the family: Transfer RNA (tRNA) molecules are approximately 80 nucleotides in length. Their secondary structure includes four short double-helical elements and three loops (D, anti-codon, and T loops). The record is from RNAcentral. Lineage: Bacteria; Pseudomonadati; Bacteroidota; Bacteroidia; Bacteroidales.
UGCGGGGUAGAGCAGUUGGUAGCUCGUCGGGCUCAUAACCCGGAGGUCAGAGGUUCGAGUCCUCUCCCCGCUA